Molecule: ribosomal RNA, 574 nt
Filed under: Aplanochytrium sp. PBS07
Lineage: Eukaryota; Bigyra; Thraustochytrida; Thraustochytriidae
Description: partial Bacterial large subunit ribosomal RNA
Rfam family: Bacterial large subunit ribosomal RNA
Source: RNAcentral
AAUAGGGCGAAUCAGUCGCUGGGUGUAGACCCGAAACCAAGUGAUCUAUCCAUGGCCAGGAUGAAGGUGCCGUAACAGGUACUGGAGGUCCGAACCCACUACUGUUGCAAAAGUAGGGGAUGAGCUGUGGAUAGGGGUGAAAGGCUAAACAAACUUGGAAAUAGCUGGUUCUCUCCGAAAACUAUUUAGGUAGUGCCUCACGUAUUACCUUCGGGGGUAGAGCACUGUUUUGGCUAGGGGGUCAUGGCGACUUACCAAACCAAGGCAAACUCCGAAUACCGAAGAGUAGCAGCGUGGGAGACAGUGCACCGGGUGCUAACGUCCGGACACGAGAGGGAAACAACCCAGACCGCCAGCUAAGGUCCCUAAAACCGGCUAAGUGGGAAACGAAGUGGGAAGGCUAAAACAGUCAGGAUGUUGGCUUAGAAGCAGCCAUCAUUUAAAGAAAGCGUAAUAGCUCACUGGUCGAGUCGGCCUGCGCGGAAGAUGUAACGGGGCUCAAACCAUACACCGAAGCUACGGGUAUCACCUUCGGGUGAUGCGGUAGAGGAGCGUUCUGUAAGUCUGUGAAGGU